RNAcentral lists this unclassified non-coding RNA (84 nucleotides) under Pseudomonas moraviensis. Lineage: Bacteria; Pseudomonadati; Pseudomonadota; Gammaproteobacteria; Pseudomonadales; Pseudomonadaceae. The record is from RNAcentral.
UGUAGGAGCUGCCGAAGGCUGCGAUCUUUUGAUGUUGAUUUUUAGAAGCAAAUCAAAAGAUCGCAGCCUUCGGCAGCUCCUUGU